This 926-nucleotide ribosomal RNA is filed under the name uncultured bacterium. RNAcentral describes it as "bacterial SSU rRNA". It matches the Rfam family "Bacterial small subunit ribosomal RNA", at positions 8 to 926 of the family's 1533-position model. The record is from RNAcentral.
AGAGUUUGAUCCUGGCUCAGGAUGAACGCUAGCUACAGGCUUAACACAUGCAAGUCGAGGGGCAGCAUGAACUUAGCUUGCUAAGUUUGAUGGCGACCGGCGCACGGGUGAGUAACACGUAUCCAACCUUCCGUUUACUCAGGGAUAGCCUUUCGAAAGAAAGAUUAAGACCUGAUAGUAUGGUGAGAUUGCAUGAUAGCAUCAUUAAAGAUUUAUUGGUAAACGAUGGGGAUGCGUUCCAUUAGGUAGUAGGCGGGGUAACGGCCUACCUAGCCGACGAUGGAUAGGGGUUCUGAGAGGAAGGUCCCCCACAUUGGAACUGAGACACGGUCCAAACUCCUACGGGAGGCAGCAGUGAGGAAUAUUGGUCAAUGGGCGAGAGCCUGAACCAGCCAAGUAGCGUGAAGGAUGAAGGUCCUACGGAUUGUAAACUUCUUUUAUACGGGAAUAAAGUAUCCUACGUGUAGGAUUUUGUAUGUACCGUAUGAAUAAGCAUCGGCUAACUCCGUGCCAGCAGCCGCGGUAAUACGGAGGAUGCGAGCGUUAUCCGGAUUUAUUGGGUUUAAAGGGAGCGCAGACGGGAGAUUAAGUCAGUUGUGAAAGUUUGCGGCUCAACCGUAAAAUUGCAGUUGAUACUGGUUUCCUUGAGUGCAGUUGAGGCAGGCGGAAUUCGUGGUGUAGCGGUGAAAUGCUUAGAUAUCACGAAGAACCCCGAUUGCGAAGGCAGCUUGCUAAACUGUAACUGACGUUCAUGCUCGAAAGUGUGGGUAUCAAACAGGAUUAGAUACCCUGGUAGUCCACACGGUAAACGAUGGAUACUCGCUGUUGGCGAUAUACUGUCAGCGGCUUAGCGAAAGCGUUAAGUAUCCCACCUGGGGAGUACGCCGGCAACGGUGAAACUCAAAUGAAUUGACGGAAGGGCGAAU